GAAAGAAAGAGAGAGACAGAGAGAGGAAGGAAGGAAGGAGGGAGGGUCCCUCCUUCCUUCCUUCCUUCCUUCCUUCCUUCCUUCCUUCCUUCC
RNAcentral lists this microRNA precursor (93 nucleotides) under Marmota monax (woodchuck). Lineage: Eukaryota; Metazoa; Chordata; Mammalia; Rodentia; Sciuridae. The record is from RNAcentral.